ACCCUGGCCGGCGGCCUACACAUGCAAGUCGAGCGGUAGCACAGAGAGCUUGCUCUCGGGUGACGAGCGGCGGACGGGUGAGUAAUGUCUGGGAAACUGCCUGAUGGAGGGGGAUAACUACUGGAAACGGUAGCUAAUACCGCAUAACGUCGCAAGACCAAAGUGGGGGACCUUCGGGCCUCAUGCCAUCAGAUGUGCCCAGAUGGGAUUAGCUGGUAGGUGGGGUAACGGCUCACCUAGGCGACGAUCCCUAGCUGGUCUGAGAGGAUGACCAGCCACACUGGAACUGAGACACGGUCCAGACUCCUACGGGAGGCAGCAGUGGGGAAUAUUGCACAAUGGGCGCAAGCCUGAUGCAGCCAUGCCGCGUGUGUGAAGAAGGCCUUCGGGUUGUAAAGCACUUUCAGCGGGGAGGAAGGCGGUGAGGUUAAUAACCUCACCGAUUGACGUUACCCGCAGAAGAAGCACCGGCUAACUCCGUGCCAGCAGCCGCGGUAAUACGGAGGGUGCAAGCGUUAAUCGGAAUUACUGGGCGUAAAGCGCACGCAGGCGGUCUGUCAAGUCGGAUGUGAAAUCCCCGGGCUCAACCUGGGAACUGCAUUCGAAACUGGCAGGCUAGAGUCUUGUAGAGGGGGGUAGAAUUCCAGGUGUAGCGGUGAAAUGCGUAGAGAUCUGGAGGAAUACCGGUGGCGAAGGCGGCCCCCUGGACAAAGACUGACGCUCAGGUGCGAAAGCGUGGGGAGCAAACAGGAUUAGAUACCUUGGUAGUCCACGCUGUAAACGAUGUCGAUUUUGGAGGUUGUGUCUUUGAGGCGUGGCUUCCGGAGCUAACGCGUUAAAUCGACCGCCUGGGGGAGUACGGCCGCAAGGUUAAAACUCAAAUGAAUUGACGGGGGCCCGCACAAGCGGUGGAGCAUGUGGUUUAUUUCGAUGCCAACGCGAAGAACUUAACCUUGGUCUUUGACAUCCCACAGAAUCUUUUCAGAAAAUGGAUUUGCUGCCUCUCGGGAAACUGUUGAUAACAGUUGCUUGCAUAGGCUUGUCGUUCCACCUCGUGCUGUUGAAAUGUUGGGUUUAAAGUCUCCUGCACGAGCGCCAAUCCUAUAUUCUUUUGUUUGCCUGCGAUUUAGGCCUGUAUCUUCUAAGUGAACUUGUACAGUGAUUAAUCUUCACCGAAAAGGGUGGGAAUGUACGUCAGUCUAUAUCGGACCCUACACACCUCAAGACUAUACACAUUCGA
This 1240-nucleotide ribosomal RNA is filed under the name Klebsiella sp. B12. RNAcentral describes it as "partial 16S ribosomal RNA". It matches the Rfam family "Bacterial small subunit ribosomal RNA", at positions 33 to 1227 of the family's 1533-position model. The record is from RNAcentral. Lineage: Bacteria; Pseudomonadati; Pseudomonadota; Gammaproteobacteria; Enterobacterales; Enterobacteriaceae.